Xiphophorus couchianus (Monterrey platyfish) is the source of this 2215-nucleotide long non-coding RNA. RefSeq lists it as uncharacterized. The transcript has 3 exons. The record is from RefSeq and is a predicted model, not a curated record. NCBI's taxonomy places the organism in Eukaryota, Metazoa, Chordata, Actinopteri, Cyprinodontiformes, Poeciliidae.
CUCAUUUUUGUUCUUGGAUUUAUGCCGUCUGCCAUGUGUGUUUCUUGCCUCAAUUCAACCGCUAGUUACCUUGUGAUUUCCCCAUAUGUGUGUGUCUGCCUCCUCCUGACUAUCUCACCUGGCCAGGAAGACGUUCAACAUCUGGAGAGGACCCAAGUACACCGUGAUAAAAGCCUCUGAGGACACUGUGAACACAAGAGUGUGGACAUGGCUGGAUGUCGUUGGUUCUGCGAGGAGAGAGAGGGAAAGAGAGGAGGCAAGCAUGUAAUCCCAGUCAUUAGUGGGCUUAAAAAGGAUUUGGUGGAGCUACAAUAAUGGAGACUCCAGUGGCCUCCACUGCAAGACCCAAAGAGACCCAACAGGGAGGAGCGCCAUCCACAGAGGUACAACUGUUUUAGUUGACUCAACUGAGAGAAAGUAAUCUGGAUUUUUGAGUGAAGCUGUCUGUCUCUGUGUGACUGCAAAUGGCAACCACAAAAUUUAGUCCUUUUGCUCUUGGUCUCACACGGAUCUCACACACACAUUCUUGCUCUGAUUCCCAUGCUUCCCAGCCCCAUAGAGGGGUGUAAACACAGUGCGGCUGGUGUUGCCAUGGCGAAGCCUGCUUGCAGCCCAAGAAUGGCGACUAUGCUCUGCAUGUGGAGGGGCAGAGGACAUGAAUGCAAGGCAGCGUAUACAGUAACACAUUCAGACAUACCCUCAUGAUGCUGAUUAAAACUGAGCUGGACAGAAUUUCAAAUUUAUAAAACAUUUGUUUUGCUUGUAUGGACUAGUCAAACUACAAUCAAACUACAGUUUCUUUAAGACGGUCUAAUCAUAAAAACAAAAUAAACUGAGUUCUUAGUUCAGUUUUUUCCAGAGUCUUUUGUGUUGCUUUUGUAAACCCAGUAUUGUGUUUUGUCUCGUCAUGUGAGCUAACUAUGAUGUUUUACCAACAUAACAAAAUCUGGCGCACUACCUAGAAGUGGAGAUCAUUGAAACUCAUUCACAAUUUUCUUCAUAUUUAAUAAUCUAAUAAAAAGGUGAAUAGCUAAAUAAGCCCUGAAUAAGUCACUGCUGCAUCACAGAGCCACCACAAAGACGAACUAGAGAAAGCCAUGUACGUUCACAUAAAUUACUCCAACUAUCAACUUAACUCAGCAGUUAACUUAAGAAGUCUGAACUGCUUAAGGAGACCAGAAAAUUACAGCAAAGCCUUUGUUCUGUGUGCAGUAAAUACAUAUUUAAAAAAGCAGUUACCACACACUUAUCUUCAAACGAUCUAAAUUUGUUUGAAAGCAUUUGCUACCAACAAGCCGCCUCUUAUUUUGUUUCGUGCAAUUCAACAUUUGCUUUUAAUAACUGGCUAAACCAACAAUAAAAAUAAUUUCAGGCACAGCUUUGUGUUAAGUAAGGCGUCAUAGGGUUUGGCUAUUGUGACCAGACAAGCCAACUAAAUCAAGGAGUUUCAACUGGCCUCCUUUAAACAGAAAAUUGGACUUUCUCAGGAAUGUAUUACUUCUGAGAUGUUUGAACAUGUUUUUAUGACUACUUAAUUGGAACUGGCUUUAAUCAAAUUGCUUUACAAGCAAGAGACCAGUCACUCUGACAGUACUGCCGUAUUUGCAGGUGCACACGGGUUCAGGCCCAUGCAUAGAUAUUUUCUGGCAAAAGUAAAAUCAUAAAUAUUCCUUUGAACUUUGAUAAAUUCCCUCUGAAUGCAGCACAUAGUGUACCCUUCUCUUGAAAUAUGGACCUCUGGGACAGAAAUCAUACAGCUCUCCUCUCCGUGUACAGUAUAUUGCUUUGAUUAAACAUGACUCUGCUACUAAAAUACACACGCUGGAAGAUAAACGAGAACCACCAAGAUCAGAGUUUUAUGCUCCUCACCAAAUAUUAUUUAGCUGAUCCAUUCAGGAAAAACAGAAUUAAACAGCAGCACAGAACGUUAAAUGUGCCUGUUGUGCCAUCCUAUAGAAGAUGUGGCUUUUGCAAAAGAACCUAAGAAACAACUUUUAUGCACCAUCUGAGUUACGAAAUAAUGACACCAUUUUGACCUACGCAGUUUGGCAAAACAUUGUGCAGGAAAAUUUGAUUUUAUUUGUUGUUCUGCAUUUUAAUGAAACAAUAUACAUCUGAGGGUUUUGGGGACUUUAUCAAGCAUGAAAUGUAAAUACUUAAUGUUUAAGUUUACAUUUGGCAAAGAUACAAAAAAAAAACAAGAAAUUACAUAAAC